RNAcentral lists this ribosomal RNA (439 nucleotides) under uncultured bacterium. RNAcentral's name for it is "bacterial SSU rRNA". It matches the Rfam family "Bacterial small subunit ribosomal RNA", at positions 338 to 793 of the family's 1533-position model. The record is from RNAcentral.
CCUACGGGGGGCAGCAGUGGGGGAUAUUGCACAAUGGGGGGAACCCUGAUGCAGCGACGCCGCGUGAGUGAAGAAGUAUCUCGGUAUGUAAAGCUCUAUCAGCAGGGAAGAAGCAAGACGGUACCUGACUAAGAAGCCCCGGCUAACUACGUGCCAGCAGCCGCGGUAAUACGUAGGGGGCGAGCGUUAUCCGGAUUUACUGGGUGUAAAGGGAGCGUAGACGGCAUGGCAAGUCUGGAGUGAAAGCCCGGGGCCCAACCCCGGGACUGCUCUGGAAACUGCCAUGCUAGAGUGCUGGAGAGGUAAGUGGAAUUCCUAGUGUAGCGGUGAAAUGCGUAGAUAUUAGGAGGAACACCAGUGGCGAAGGCGGCUUACUGGACAGUGACUGACGUUGAGGCUCGAAAGCGUGGGGAGCAAACAGGAUUAGAUACCCCAGUAG